UGUGUGAACGCGGCUGCAGCCACACAACAACUGGCAGAUUUUUUAACAUGAGGGGAAUUGUCCAUUUUGGCAUUGCUGGAAGUUUGGACCCUACAAUAAGCUAUGGAGACGUUGCUGUAAUAAAACGAGUUGCUAAUACGGCCGUUUACGAUAUGCUGAACCCAAAUGCACAAACAACCCAUUCCCAUGUAACUAAGGAUGAUUUGAUCAUCGGGGAAUACCAUCAACCCAAAGCAGAGAAGGAGAGUUCACUAGAUUGGGACGUGUCGCAUUCCGUGGUGAAAGAUUUUUCCCCCCGAAGGGGGAGCCUAACGUUGAUAUUUCAGAAACAUGGUUUAAUCCCACCAGAAGUGGGUUGACCUCGCUUUUCAAUUAGUGGAUAAGGUGGAAUUGAAUGAAACGGGACUCCCACAAAAGCCGAAGGUAGUAGUCGGAGUUAACGGCUCCACGGCCGAUAUAUCUCUGGAGAAUUUAGCUUACAGGACCUUCCUGUAUGACGAAUUUAAAGUUUCAGUCCACGACGCGGAGAGUUCAGCUGUUGUGAUGACAAGCUCGUCAAAUGGGUACAAAGUAAUUGCCAUCCGCGGGCUAUCAGAUUUAUCUGGAGCUGAUAAAGCAGGUACUCCGAGUUAUCGGGACAUUACAGCUAACAAUACUGUCGCAGUUCUUCGCGAUUUUAUCCAAAUUCUACAUGAGAAUAACGAAGCUUAAGUUGAAUGCUUUUAAGUAAUUGGAUUAGAGCCAAAAUAAGUUGAUAAUAGAGGACACGUUUUGUACUAUGGUUAUGCAAUAAUAUUUAUAGUAAAAAAGUGCUCCUUGUUCUA
Pistacia vera is the source of this 824-nucleotide long non-coding RNA. RefSeq lists it as uncharacterized. The record is from RefSeq and is a predicted model, not a curated record. The transcript is spliced from 4 exons. NCBI's taxonomy places the organism in Eukaryota, Viridiplantae, Streptophyta, Magnoliopsida, Sapindales, Anacardiaceae.